ACUUUAUUUAGUUUUUUGACAUGCCAUGUCGGGAAGGAUUUCAAUCUUUUUCAGUUCACAGUUCCAUGAGUUUAUCCUCGUAUGCAGUGUAAUGUGUUAGUUAUCUUCUUGAAAUGGACCAAGUAGUUUUCUGUACUACACCCCUCACUGUUUAUUCUCCGUUUAUUUGCUGAAAUAUCCUUUAUUUUUUACCUUCUCAAAUCCCUGCUUUUUACUGAAUGUGUUGGGAGCAACUGCAAAUCAAAAUAACACUGCAAUUAGAAAGUUUCAGCCUUAUCAUCUACGCAUGCUUCCUUUCUAAUAGUUUGUAUGCGUAGGAUCAAACGUUUAAUGUUGUCAUUGCUAUGCAUCUGGUCUUACUUGGCAGGGUUUUUAAUGCUCACACACACACACACACUCGGUCCCACACUUUGUCAGGUUUAAUACUUCCAAGCAGUUGUCACUACUGUAGUUUGAUAUUUGAUGGCUGGUUGCUACACAAACAUGCAUGCAUACAAACGUUUGUGUAUUUUAUGAGCUUCUUGCUUAUUAUGUGUGAUCGUAGCCUUUCUUUUCUUAAUUGUGUUUUAAAGGCUUGCCAUGAUCUCUUGGAAAGGAAUACACCAAAAGUAAGAGCAAGGCUUGCUGGAAAAUUGUCAGCUAUUCGAGAACAUCGCCCAGCUAGUACUACGUCUGGCUGAUAAUUCAUUUGUCGAUUUUGUUCUAUAUUUUUCGACUUAUAAAAUAAAUGGAGACCAUUAACUUCAGUGCUAGCAACUGAUAUCAACAUAAGGUUAGCAUGCAUAGCUGGACAAACAAAGGGAUUUUGUGAGCAACUCAAGCAUCAGAAACCAGAACUUCAGACUACGAGGCUUCAUCUUGAUUUGACUUUGUAGUUUUAAUGCGAAUUGCAAGAAAACAAAGUCCUUCUGGUGCAGAGGUGAUAGAGUGCUUUUUAAAAGCAACAAGCAAAUUAAGGUCGACUGCAGUUGGGUCAUGUGGUUAAGGGUUAGAGAAUUUGUUGUUCCUUUUUGAGUUAGAAGCAAGAAACAAAACAAAAAUAAAACAAGGAGCAUGACUCCAAAGCAGUUGUUCCCGUGUUGCCGAAGAUGCAAGAAAGCCUUUACGAAUGUCGAAUAUUCUAUGCUUCAAUACAGAAUAAAAUCAAAAGAAACUGUUCUUGCA
Populus euphratica (Euphrates poplar) is the source of this 1164-nucleotide long non-coding RNA. RefSeq lists it as uncharacterized. The transcript is spliced from 2 exons. The record is from RefSeq and is a predicted model, not a curated record. NCBI's taxonomy places the organism in Eukaryota, Viridiplantae, Streptophyta, Magnoliopsida, Malpighiales, Salicaceae.